Molecule: long non-coding RNA, 770 nt
Filed under: Sparus aurata (gilthead seabream)
Lineage: Eukaryota; Metazoa; Chordata; Actinopteri; Spariformes; Sparidae
Description: lncRNA (ENSSAUG00010010586.1)
Source: RNAcentral
GGAACAUCAAAGUGAAUAGAAUUAAUUGUUAAGGAACCUCAAAUAUCUGUAAGAAAAUUCCUUAGGAACCCAUCCAAGAAAAUUCACUCAAAAACGAAAGGACAAUCAAGCUGUAAAAAUGUAAAUCACUGUUCUGCUGCAGGCACUCUAGCAACAAAUACAGAUUAUUCCACUGCUGAACACCAACAAAUGCACACAUUCCUCAUGAUUGAGAAACUUUUGCUAAAAACUACACUGACCAACUACUCAGGAAAUUAACAGAACCUACAAAAUAAAGAAAAAACGUCUGGUUCCUCUGACCAGUUUCUAAAGAUUUGUGUUUUCAACAGGGAUGAAUGCCAAAGACGGGCUGAGAAAUUGAAAAGUAUUUACAGAUUGAACUCAUACACUGUUGGUUUUGGCUUUCCUCGAGGAAUCUGUUGGAAGGUUAUCGUUCUGCUGGGAAACCUUGGGUCUUCAGAAGCUCACAUGCUCCAUGCACCCAAACCCCAUCGCAGGACAAUGCCCUGAAACACCACAAAAACUGCCUGGUCUGCAAAUGGUGUUUGGAUAGGUGGUGCAUAUCAAGUGGCAGUUGCAUAAAUGACAGUACCCCAAAAAACAUUGCAUUGUAACCAGCGCAGGAAUUUCAUGAGGGCCACGAGGGCCAAAAUAUCUGCCUUAAGGCCACAGUGGCCUUGAUGCCCCACCUGCACUCCCCUAGUUGAUUUUGCAGUUUUCUCCUCUGCCUCUUCCCUGUCAACACGGCUUUGAACACCGGCAUCUUUUGC